ACAGAGCACGGCGAGCGCACCGCGCGGCGGCCGGCCCGCGCCCUUAACCCUUCGCUGCGCGCCGCCCGGGGAGGCGGGCACCUUUCCCAAAGAGUGGCUCGGGAUGGGGUGCGGGGGAGGGGAGACGCGGACCGGAGGGCAAGGUUCCUUCCAGGCGCUCGGAGCAGCAUCUGAGAGGGCUCACUCUGAUCAUCAGCUGCACGUUAAGCCACAAACCGGCGUCGCUUCGGCGUUCCGGAACCCAGGCCUGGGGGCCGCGGGGAUUGCCUCUGCGUGCAACUCCGGAAAGUUUCAAGGGGUCCCCCGACUGCACAGGUCCGGAAAUCGGCUUUGAUAUGGAACUACUCCGCUCUAGCCUGGAAAGGAGACCCGCGCACUCCUCUCGCAGCUAAUUUCGGAUCAUUAAUUUAAUCGGAAAUGAGGUAACCAGUGUAGGAGACAGAGAAAGCAACCGGAGCAUCAAAUGGCAGUUCUCGAGAAUCGACGAGGAACUUAAAUCUGGACUCAGGGUUUCAGUGCGGUCUCCGACUCCCACCACCCCGCCCCUCCGCCUGUCUCGCCGCCAGGUGUGACCUCCACGCGAAGGAAUCUUCUUCGGAUGGGUGCACCUUGCCAACAGGUGUGGCACCUGGAGGACUAGGAGGCGCCUCCAGACUAAGGGCGCUCAGUGCGGCGUUCUUGUUGCAGAUGAUUCUGGAAGGCCGGUAGGUGUCGGGCGACAUUUGACCUUCUUCAGGUGCUUAGAACUAAGUGUCUGGAAACAUGAUCCUUUCGCGUAAGUUUCUUUCUGAAAGCCACCAAUCUUGACUGUAAGCUGUAUUUGAGAGAUCUUUUGGCUGAGUUUACUUAUGACCUAACGGUUAGUCACCAACUGAGGCAGGGCACAGGAUGACCAAAAAAAAAGUGUCAGUUUUUACACAACUCUGGCCUGCAAGAGCCUACGUGCUUCAUAAAUAAAAAUAAACAUACGAGCGAGGAAGGUGCAGAGCCCCGGAAAUAUUUUUUUCUCACAUUUUUGAAAUACCAUGCACAUAUAUGUGGCUAUUUAAGUAUAACUACUAGUGUUCACUCUUACUCAUUUCUACAACUUUUUUUUUUCCAUUUAAAAAUCGAUUAUUGUUACGGUUUAAACCUCGGGUUGGUCUAAAGUGACAUUGUUGGUCUCAUUACAGCCUCUAGUGGACAGUUAACAUCAGUUUCCUGAAAAGGCUCUGACUGGUUUUGUUUUCGUUGACAAGCUUUGUCAAGGUGAAGGUUAGUACGUAAGAGCAUAACCGGGUAAAAUGUCCCCUCACCCCUAUCCUCACCCCCGCCCCCAACACCCUGCUUGGCAAAGACGACUUCAGAAAGGAGCAGAAGCUUGUUGGCUUUAUAUAGAAAAGACGUAUGCUUUGUGCUGCAGGUAUUAUUAUUACUGGACUGUGAAUAAACAGAAAGCUUCUGCUAUUCAUUUCAGUUUCAGACAGCUUUCAUAAAAACUAAAUUCAUCUCAAAUAUUUUUAUAACAGAAAAUAUUGGUUGCCAUGUUUUUGGCUUAACUGCGAUGUUUUUAUUCCAACUCAUAAUCUGCAAACUGUCCAAUCCACCUCCACUCUAUUUUUAGACAUCUUACAUUUAGAUAAUUUUCAGUUAAAAAAAAGCUAAUAUUGUAAUUUUACGUUGGCACAAGCAGUUAAUUUACGUGAUUUUAACAACCUUAAAUUAAAACACAUAAUUCAGAUUACAGUUAGUCAAUUAAUUUAAAUGUUCUCUCAAGGAAGCUAAAUAUGUAUAUUACCCAAAUGGUAAAAACAAUUAAUAAGAAAUGUGUCAUUUACUUUCUUAGCCAUUAAGUUUAAAGCCAUAAACUGCCACCAAAAUCUGUAACUAUUUCUUCCUGCAAGAUCCAACAUAAACACCAUACUCAUGAAACUGUCUCAUUACCUUUAGUACUGAAAUAUUUUGUUUUCAGAUGGCAAAAUAUUAAGUGUACAAUCACAAAUAACAGGCACUGAUUCUUUAGAAACAAGACUUUCUCGUGCAAAUAAAAACUCAAUGAAAAAGGGCAGAGCUUCCAAGAAGCUAGUAGACAAAUAUAUAGUACUAUAGUCCUACUCAUAAGGCUGGUGUUAUGUUUGUAAAAGCAUAAGUCAACCUUUGAAAUUACAGGAAAUCGAUAAAUAAGGCCUGAUGAGCUUGACUCGUAUCCUGUGUCAUAGAUUGCUUAAAUACCAUGAAAAAUAAUUGUAAUCACAUAUCUAUUUUACUGUUUUGGUGGUAUCUACUCUUGAAGGUGUUAAAUGGGCCAGCAAGUAUAUAUUAUAUAAUUACAUAUUACACCCUUACUUAAAGUGUAGUUUUCAAAGUCGCCACAGCAGCACUUGGGAGCUUUUUAGACAUUCAGAGUCAAGGGUUCUACCCCAGACAUACCAAAUCAGAAUCUGCCUUUGAACCAGGCCCCUGGGUGAUUUCUAAACACAUUAUCAUGUGAAGAACACUGGUCUAUACCACAGGGAUCAACCUAAAUAAAUUUGGGCACAAGUGCAGAAGUUAAUUCCUCUAUUUAUUUCUUUUUUGCUCCUUUUUAGUAAGUACAGCCCUUAUUAAUUUGUGCUUUUCAAUGAAAAAUUAUUAUGUUAUAUGCUUUGGAUAAAUACUACUGCACUGUAAGUGCACACAUCUGCAUCAUUAUUGCCAAAAAAGAAUGCUCUGCUGAGGAAUGUACUGGGGUCUUGAACAUGAACAUUUUCUUCAUGGCAGCAGAGGGAGCACAAGAGUGCUUAAUAAAACCAGUGCACAGGUCUCUCCAAAUCAUGACAGAUUUUACAUUGUAGUAUAUGUUUUCAUUGGAAGUAGCCUGUUAUGUAGUUCAAAAUGAAGCAAAUCAACUGAGCAAACACAGAUAGGCUUACCAGGUCAUAACAACUAUGUAACUGAACAGAUUGAAAGUUGAAUAAAAUAAAGAUAAACUUCUUUAGAGUUUUAGGCUUGAAUUCUUAAAAGAAAGUGGACCUCAAAAGUGAAAAAGAUGCCUUAGCUUUGCUCAAAAACAAAGAUAACACAACACAGAAUCAGGCAACCCUAAGAUGCCUUAGCUUUACUCAAAAACAAAGAUAACACAGAAUCAGGCAACCCUAAUAGUAGCUCCUGUUUAUCUAAAAACAGAGUCAGUUCACUGGACCCUACAUCAGGUAACUUAAUUUCAUUUGGUGUCAUACAUGUUGGUUAAGGUCCAUGCGCCUUUUGCUGUGUUUACACUCAGAAUAAUUUUAGGGGUUUCUCCUUAAUGCUUGCAGUGGUGAGGAUUUAGGUUUCAGUUAUACCUACGUAGUAUUUCAUACUUUUCACUACUCUUCCAUAUUGCAUCCUCAAAAACUCCCUUGAAGCAGAUAACAUACUUGGUAAAAGCCAAGUAUCCAAAAAGUUAUGGAACCACAUCGUGCUUUCAUAACAUUGAGUCAUUUAAUUGUUUCAGUAGUGCUUUGAGGUAUUCAUAAAUGAGGGAAAUUAUACAGACUAAAGAUCCAGAGCAUUUUUUACAGUUUUAAAGGUUUUUCAAAGUUAUUCUUAGAUAAUAUGUUUAUAUAUUUAUUAUUUAUUUACAAGCAGUCACUUACUCUGCAUCUACAAUAACUAAGACUUGAGAAUAUAAAAUUGAGUAAGACAUCUUAGUGUGCAAGGAGAUCAGAGCAGAACAGAUCUUACCUUUGGAAAACUGUUAAUUUUUACCACGUUGAAACACAAAGAUUCAUAGUUGAUGCGAUCCAGCACCUGCCAGAAUCAUAGCAAUCAGACUUCCAAAUAUGAGAAUCAAACAUUAGAAUCAUUAAAAAUUUGAGAGGCGGGGGGGACAGUUGUACAACUCUUGAGCAAAAGUUGACUUAUAAGCUAAUAUUAAUAUUUCAAAUUUGUACGACAAACAAAUGUGAAGAUAUAAUGUGUAUUUUAUUUGAAUGUCUUCCCUAUCACAAAAUCACAUGAGUAAGUUGAGUUGGUAAACAUUUAUUUAUUUUUAUCUUUUCUAAAAUGCUGAAAAGAAUUUUUCUCCCACACUAAAGAGGGUUUGCCAAGUUUCUGCCUGGAGCAAUUUGUUAUGGCUGUGUAAUAAAUCCCAGAAAGUUUGAAUUUUUAAUGGAAACACUGACAGAAUAAAGAGGGUGUAAUCCUACAUAUGUCAUUUAAAAAUCUGAGCAAACCAUAGUGUGCUUGCAAAACAAAUAUACUUUCCUUAGAUUGCACUCACAAAUAAGGCUGGGGAGACCACAAAAGUAAAACAAACUCAAAAGUGAAAAACACUCACACAAUAGACUCUGAGGUCAGCUCACCACACCCAGACUAAAGUCACUGGGCUCUGUGCGUGUCACCAAGACUCUUAAAAGACAUACUUCUGAAUCAUCUUUCUUGACCCUCCACCAAACUGUAGCAAGACAGGCUUCCUGGGAAUGAAAAUGACAUUAGCAUUAGUCAAGAGUGAAAUUAAAGUCAUUGUACUCAAACAUCUGCCAACAGUCUGUGAUUUCAUAGUACCCACCUCUGAAAUAAGACUCUGUCUACAAUUAAAAACAAAGAAAAAAAGGUACUUUAGGUCUUCACUAUCCACUAUGUCUACUGAGCACUUGAAAUGUGUGAUUAGUCCAAAUUAACAUGUGCUGUAAGUGUGAAAUAUUCCUCAGAUUUUAAAAACUUGGUAUAAAAAAUACAUAUUUUACAUAUAAUAUAUAUUAUUCAUUAUUCCUAUAUUAUUAAUUUUAUGUAUUAUAUAUACACACAUGUAAUAUCUCCAUUUUUACAUUGAUUAAAUGUUGAAAAUAUUGGGUUAUUUUUUAAUAGUGUACAUUGGGUUAAAUAAAAUAUAUUAUUAAACUUCAUUUUACCUGUUUCUUUUUACUUUUUUUUUUGAGACAGGGUCUAGGUCUGUCACCCAGGCUGCAGUGCAGUGCAGUAGUGCAGUCUCUGCUCACUGCAACCUCCACCUCCUGGGCUCAAGUGAUCCUCCUACCUCAGCCCCUGAGUAGCUGGGACCACAGGCAUGCGCCACUACACCCAGCUAAUUUUUGUGUCUUUUGCAGAGACGGAGUUUCACCAUGUUACCCAGGCUGCUAUUGAACUCCUGGGCCUUGGCCUCCCUAAGUGCUGGGAUUAUAGAUGUGAACCACCACGCCCAGCCUCUUUUUACUUUUCUUAAUGUGGCUACUAUAAAGUUUCAUAUCACAUGUGUGGAAGGGUUAUAUAUUUCAUUUCUAAUGAACAACACUGAUACAGAUAUUGGGGCUGAGGAGGCACAGGAAUUGGUUCUAAGAACCCAGUUUAAGAUCUUAGACUCCCAGCAUGGCUCCCUGCAGUGGUGUGGUAAAUAACUUAUUUUUCUGCCUUCCCCAUGUUCCCCCCUUACACUGUGUAACACAGAACUUAUCCUACUCUGUUAUAAUGAUCACUGAGAGUAGACUGUCGGUGAAUGCGUGAUCUCACUGGUAGAUCUGUUACAGGCCUGCAAAACAAAAAUUUGUUAGGCUUAUCUGUGACUCAGUCUUCUCAAGCUCUGGUACCUUGUCACCCUGGGAGGCUGAUGGAAAACCUAUGCUCUGUUUUCGAAAGCACAAGCACAAGCAUCCUAGAGUUACAGCUGGUUUUGCUGCUUGUGGCUAAAUGGUUUGGGGCCGAUACUUUCUAGUGACAGAUGGCUUUGGACAUUGAUAAUGAAAAUUAUAUAAUUUGUUGCUUAACUAAAAAACAUCAAGGCCAUCAAAAGGAAAUCUGUUUAAAAAAAAACUUUCUAAUAUAUUUAGUACCAUAGGAUACUCUGAAAAGAAAUGAUUAUUUUUAACCAUCAUUGUUUAUUUUGCAAGCAAGACCUAGAUAAAUUUUCAUCAAUGCAGCUCUGACCAAGAUUGAAUAUAAGGCAAGUAUCAUAAUUUAUGGUCUUAGUCAUCUAAAGAACAUAGCUCUUCUUACAUGGAAAGAAAACAGACAACAUUUUGAGGCUUAGAAUGAAUGAGUUGAACUUUGUUUGGUAUUGGCCAGGAGCAUUUGGAAAUUUAUUAAAAGCAUUUCAUUAACAACUUGGCAUUUUGUUUCCUCAAAAGAAAUACAUUUUCCAAAUUUAAAUCAAAGCCAGAACCACCAUUUUUUGAACUGAAGGUAGUGGCAGCUGAUGGUUUGUGCCUGUUAAGCUGAGGGUGCCUUCGGAAUAAGAUCAUGGGCAACAACAGGCUGCAAAAAUAAACAUCAAAUUUUUAUGGAAGGAGUGAAGCAGUGUUCUUUGUUGUUCUAACUUGAUGACAUUAAAAUAUGUGGCUAUAAGCUCUCUUAGUUACUUUAUUUUUCUUGAGUCAAUAUUGGCCAGGAGAAGCUGAUCUGAAUGAGGGUCAGAGGUUAAGAAAAUUAUUUUAUGAGGAAUUUACCAAGUUUACCCCCGAAGAGGGAGAGUUAGAGAAAAAUGCAUUGGCAAACUUUGCUUUUUGACAUAAAUAACUAGAAUUCACCAAGGGAACGGCCUGUGUCAGGGUUUCAGUGAGGGUUGUCAGGCAGUUUGAUAUUUGCAGAACCCCUCUCUGUCAGGCCUCUCCAAAGUUUAACUGCUAGGAGAUCUGGGAAGCUCUCAAGACUGGCGACUGAAGAUACUGAUUUGCUUUGUGUCUGAGACACAGGCAUAAAACGAUGGCUACUGCCACAGAUGCUUUCUGACAGAGCAGAAUAAUAGCACUCAGACUUAAACUGUACAUUACAAACAAUCCCUUUUUAAGUACAAAAUGAAUGCACAGAAUGGAAGACCCUGUCAGCUAGAAUACAAGUAAAUCAAGUAGAAGAAGACAAAUUAUUCACUCAUACCACUACAGCCAAAUUUUUAUUCUGCUAACUGCACUGUCAUGAGAGAGCUUUUCUUCUUUGUCAGAUGUUAAUAUUUAUGCCUAGUGUUCCAUUAUCGGAACGCUAAGCAUGUGGGAGUUAUUUAUAUCCUACUGCUCGAGGUCAUCGCCAAGGUCUGAUUGCAAAAAUUCAAAAAAUUGCAACCAUAAAUGGGUUAAGAAAAUCGAUACAUCAUAGUUAUUACAAAUAUAUGAGGCACUGGAUGCAUUUCCUCUGAGAGCCAAUCAAAUUACAGGAUAUGUUUCCUAACUCCCCACACCUAUUCCAGUUUAAAAGUUGUAGCUUGAGUACCAGGAGUAAGAACACGUGAACCCUUCACUCCCAGGGCUAGCUUUUCCUGCUGUCAAUUUCAUAAUUAUAUUGCUCCGCCCCUUGGCUUAGCACUUCCUUUCCCCUCACUACCUUCUCACCCCAACCCCCAGCAAUGAAUCAUCAGGCCUUUAAAGAGACUUAGACGACCCAGUGUGAACUUCGCUGGCAUCCUGUACAUUCUUAUGCCAAAAAAGGGGAGUUGCUCUAAGACAGAAACUAGCCAGACCCUGAUGCAGAUCUUGGAGGCAACAAGCUUGGGUGCUUAUCUGGGAAGAUCAGCGAGGAGUUAAUUUUCCUAGAUCGCAAUGGUGAUUCAGAAUUGCAUAUCUUAGUUCAUGAUUGGGUUUUUAAGAACCCAGUUCGACCCUUUGUACAGAAAGGAAUAUAUCAAAGGGAAAAAUGUUGGCAGAUCUCCUUAUGCAAUCAGGGCAAAGGAAUUUAUACCACAUUCAACUCUUUGAUUUCUCCAGAUCUGGCUGAGGGUGGGGUUUCCAUAUUUGUGCUUUGGCAAAUGUGUCCAAUAAUUAACUCCUCCUGAUAUAUGCCCCUAGUGUUCUUCCAGGUUAUCAUGUGCUUAUUUGUGCAUUUAUUAAAACCAGAAACAUUUUUGCCCCUUCAUUGUUUAAAUACUGUGUCUGAGUAAUACAGGUUAAAUAGACAACAAGAGCCUUGCCUUUUAAAGACUUUACUCCCCACCUAAAGAGGUGAAGGAGAUAUCAUUUAAAUAACAUUAUGCGUGUGCAUAUACCUUCUAUAUGGAAAGCCCUUUCUUCUCCUCCCUCCUUUUUUUUUUUUUUUUUUUGCAUGGAGAUUUUAUCCUCAUGCUUUUGAGAUCCGGCUCAAGCAUCAACACUUCUGUGAAGUCUUUCUUGAUUAUCACAGGAGUCUGCGGCUCUGCCCAAUGUGUGAGUCAGAGAAGUGCUAUUUUCUUAUUCUUUUUAUUUAUACAAUAUUUUUUUAAACCUCUAACCGAAAAAAACAGGGCCAUAAGCACAGAUGGAGAGAGUAUCCUAAGUGGGAGCUCUCUUACUUGAAUACUUCCUGCUACUCCCAAACCCAUUUGACCUCCCUUACAGUUUCAGCGUGCAACUGCGCUUCCUUUGUUUAUGCUCCAAUUAUGUGACUCCCCUCCACUGAUCAGUUUUUCAUGUAACUUUCCACUGCCCUCUGUUAUGAGUUGAAUUGUGACCCCAAAAGAUACAUCGAAGUCCUAACCCCAGUAACUAUGAGUGUAGCCUUAUUUGGGAGUAGCAUUUUUGCAGAUGUAAUUAGUUAGGAUGAGGUUUUACUGUUUUAGGGUGGACCCUAAAUCCAAUGCAACUGUUGUCCUCAUAAGAAGAGAAGACACAGAAACAGAGGAGACACAGGGUAGAUGACCAUGUGAAGACAAGGCAGAGACUGGAGAUAUGCUGCCACAAGCCAGGGAAUGCCAGGGAUUGCUAGCAACCACCAGAAGCUAGAAGAGGCAAGGAAGCCUCCUCUCCUAGAGCAUUUAGAGAAAGGAUGGCCCUGUUGACACCUUGAUUUCAGACUUCUAACUUCCAGAACUGGGAGGGAAUAGAUACCUGUUGUUUUAAGCCACCCAGUUUGUGGUACUUUGUUAUAGCCAUCCUAGGAGACGAAUGCACCCUCCUUAUGAGAUCCAUGAUUCCAGGUCUGUUGGAUUCUCCUUUCUUCUCUUUAUUUACGUAUAUGGCCCUACCUCUUCCUGCUGCAGAUACUCCUAGGUAAUCUGUUCUGGAUGUACUUUUGGUCUUGCACCUAUGACAAUACCAAUAAACAAAGAAAAGGUCUAAUGGAAUAGAAAACUUACAGAGUUCUAGAACCGCCUCCUCGUCAUCCCAGAAAAACAUCUGGCUUCUGGCUCCAGGCCUCAGAGAGCACAAGUACAUUACACUCCUGCACGGGGCGUCAGCUGGUGUCGGCGUCCUCCUCGGCCCUCCUCAGCUCCCUCUGCUGGGCGCCCGAUGCACCAGCAGCUUCCCUCUUCAGAAGUAGUCUUCCAGCAUGUGGGUGGGGUUGGGGUGAAGAAGAGACCGCAAAAACUAAAUUAAUUUGAUAUUGAGGAAAUACAAUGCUAAUUGUUUGGCUUUCUUUUACUGUCUAUUUGAGUGUUAUCAAAGUGCUUAUGAAGACCUUGGUCUUUCUGAUUCUCCUUUUUCAAAAAACCAAAAAAAACCGAGAAGCUCAUUUGUUUCAGGAAGUUUCCCUGAGCGAGUGGAAGGGGAGGCCUCACACUGAAGCCAGAAUACAAAGGAAGUCCUCUUGAGAUGGAUAAAGCAGUUCUUACAUGCAAAUCUCAGAAAAUGGCAACUCCAUCUUUCCACCUGUUCAAGCCCAGAACCGCUGGCAGUGUCUUGACUCUCUCGUCAGACCCCACAUCCAAUUUGCCAAAAAUCCAGUUAAAUCUACCUUCAAAACAUAUCCAGAAUCUGACCAUUUUUCAGCCCUGGGACUGCUACCACUGGAGUUAAACCACCACCGUCCUUCGUCAGGGUUACUGCGACAGCCUCCUAAAUUGGCCCUUACUUCUCCAGUUACCGGCCCACACCAGUCUACUGCCUGCAUUAGGUUGAUGCCACAGCUCUGCUCAGAGACCAAGGGCUCCCCCAAGGUCAAGUAAAAGCCCUUCAUGGCCUACAAGGCUGGCCUCGAUCAGGUCCUCAACUUUUCUGAUCUCAUCUAUCCCUGUCCUUGCUCCCACACUGCCAGCCUCACUGUCCUCUUUGCUGGUCCUCAAAUAAGCCAGCUGCUCUCUUGCCUCAGGGCCUUUGUAUUAGCUGUUCCCUCGGCUUGGAAUGCUUUUCCCUCUUGUGUUCGCAUGGCCCACUCCUUCAUCUUCUUCAGGUUAUUUUUUCUAAGAAUCAACCUCCUAGUGAGGCCUGCUGUGAACACCCUACUAAAAAUUCUACUCCCUCACUUUCCCGAUCCACCUUGCCCUGCUCAUUUAUCCCAUAAAUGUGUUGCUUUAUAACAUUCUAUGUCAUCUACUUUGUUUGUUUGUUUAUUGUCAGGAGGGCAGAGAUUUUUUUUUUUUUUUGUCUGGCUCAUUCAUCUAGAAUAGUUCUUGGCACAUGAUAGACACCCACUAAAUAGGCAUUGACUAUUAAAUGAAUUAAUCAGUAAUGUUUUCCAGAACCUACUAUGUGCAAAGUUCUGUCAGCCCCCAACACAAUGAUUAUCUCAUUAGGAGCUAAUCCAAAACUAAUCCAUCUGGUCCACACUAUGGUAUAAUAUAUGUUCUCUUUACUUGACCUUUGCCUUAGUGUCUGACAUGACUAUUAAAGCUGAGUUGGAAUGAACUGAGUCUCACACUCAGGCUUUGCAGAUGUCAUUUCAUUUCAUCCCCAUGAUGAUACUGUGAGAUAGAGAUCAUGAUUCUCACUUAUUAGGUGAUUAAACUGAGGCUUGGAGUUUAAAGGACCUGCCCAAAGUUCAGGGUCACCCAGCACUGGUUUCAAAGUGAAGUUAUCCACCUAUGCAGCUUGAGAAUUGUUAACAAGUCAUUACCUGAAUGAAAUAGGACAGUUACAGUCAUAACACUGCAUUGCAAUGUUUUGGCUAAGGGACCAUUUUUAAUCCAAUCUCUAGUUUUUGGAUUAUACAUGAAUUGUGAAUAACACCUGUAUCCCAGAAAUUAAAGCUAGUGAUGCUCAUUGAGAACUGAGUAUUUCUCCAUAAGCGAAUUGGCUUCAGAUCAACCUAAGUGGUUUCCCAACUAACAGAACUCUAUUCCAGCUUAUAAUUUUUACUCAUGCUGCUACAUGGGCUGGAAAUGAUUCUCACUUGAGGUUCAUGCUUGAAUCCCUAGAACCCUUUCCUAUUAAAGUCCUGUCUAAAGUAUCCCAUUACAGUAAGGACGAAGGAGAUCGUAAAGGGCCAACAUGAAUUCUCAAGGCUAAUUUAAUGACUUAAUUUCCUUCAGUUACUCUGGGCUGAACUUCUCCUGUUCUACCCGCAAGCUUCCCAGAGUCCUCUGUGACCAGAAUCGAAGCAUAGUGUCUGAAAGUAGCCUGGCCACACAAGAUGUGCAAAACACUGUAACCUCUUCACAGCCUCACUCCACUUUGUAUUUGAGGGAAAUGAUUCUAGAAGCUGAAAUAGACCAGAGUUCAACAGUCUGGGAAAUUUGAAGAAGAAAAAAGGAAGAGAAAAAAAAAAAAAAAAAAAACCAAGCCCUGCAUUUGCAGAGAUGUGAAGAGAACCCAGCUCUCUGAAGUUGGAAGGAAGUGAGAAGACCCUAUUUGUGGCUGCAGGAGAGGAAAAGAAAAGAGACCCGCAAGGAAACUACCAACAGAUGGUAAAUACAUUUUUAAUUCUUCUGUCAUACUGUGUGGACUUGUGCACAUUUGUCCUGCUGUGUUAGGCUCCCGAAAUAGCUAGCCAUGGAAUUGCAGAACAGUUCUGCUGCAAUUUGAGAUUUAGGAAACCAUGCUAGCUGACAAAACAGGAAGGGCUCAUAGUAGGAUGGAGUGGAUUUGCUCCCAGUUUGCAGCUCCUCAAUGUGGCAUCUGCUGUCAUUCUUAGUGCAGGAAAAUUCUCUCACAUGUCAGGUCUCAUUGGUGAUGUUUUGCAACAUACUAUCUCAAAUUGCCCCCCGAGCCCUAGUUAUAAUUAUUAAAUGUUGACACUAUGCAUAUAACUCCCAAAGAUUAAAGAGAGUGAGGUCCAUUGAUUUAUGAAUCCUGAGUCCUCCAGGGAACAUCACAAACACACAUGGCAGCCCAGAUCUCUUCACCUAGUCUUCCUCAUACUUUUGGUAUGAGGUUGCUCUACAAGAACCUAAAGAGGUAGGACACAAAAGCACAUUCAGUUGACUCCACAUCUGAGAAGUGACCAGUGAUUGGUACCAGGAAUGAGUUAGGUUCCCAACCCCAACACCAUCUCUCAGUGCAUCUGCAAAAAAAAACCACAAGUGUCAAUUAAUCUAACUGGAUGCAGGAUAAUGAGGAGAGGGUGGCCUAUUAAUUAUAGUGUGAAAAUAUAGCUAUAUAAUGCCAUUUUAUUAGAACUGGAAAGAUCCUUACAGAAUCUAGUUCAAUUAUUUUUUUUUCAUUUUAUAGACAGGAAUCUGGGCCAAAGAGUUGCAGGAAAUUGGCAAAGAUCAUACAACUAGUCUGUGGCAAAUUCAGUACUGGAACCUAAGACAUCUCCCUCCCAGUCCUGUGUUUGUUCUCCUCUAGUCCUCAUAGAAGGUGGACACUGCUGUGAUGAGCAAAAUCCAAUUCUAGAAGAUUUUGAUCAUGGCAGCCCGCACACUUGGGUUCUUAUAAAGUGAGAUGAUGGCAUUUCUGUCUGGUCUGUAGAUGUUUGGGAAACUGGUUGAUAUUCUUUACAAGUAAGAUUUCAAGCUAAAAUAGAUUUGUUAAUUUCUGUCCUAACCCCCUGUGGAUUGUUUCUAGAUUAUAUAGCUACCACACUAUUUGGCACAGCUGGGAUCCUCUUUUCAUGAAAUAGCAGGGAAGAUUGGUAGAUAAGGAUUAAAAAGCACUGGCAGAGGAGACAGGGAGACUUACACAAUUACUUCCUACCCAGUGCCUUCCUGGUCUAGGAACUUCUUCCAGCCUCUUUUGGAGAGAGAGGUAAGUGGGAGGAAAGGGGAUUUUUAUCUUUUUAGUAAAAGAAAGGAUAACAAAAACACUUUAGCACUGCUCAAUUUGAUGAAAUCUUGAUUUCACAUAGUUUAAGUUUCUACCAGACUAAAUAUAUUCUUGUUCAAAAUAACAUAUAUAUUCAUAGAUAACUUUUCCAGUGGAUACAUAUGUAGUUCAUUAAUAAAAACUCUUCUCAAUCAGCUAUUUUAAAAAGUGUUCUUUCCUGUUUUCUAGAAAGUUAAUCGGUAAGCUCCUCAAUAGCUGGUUUGGCAGUAAGGUCUUAAAUUUUGCAAUUUUAGUCAGCAUUUUGCUUUGUUGUUUUGCACAUAAUUUCAGCAACAUUUUAUGCUAUUUUUUUUGUUGUUGUUCUUUUUGAGACAGUGUCUCACUCUGUCCCCCAGGCUGGAGUGCAGGGGCAUGAGCAUGGCUCACUACAGCCUCAACCUCCUGGACUCAAGCAAACUUCCUGCCUCAGCCUCUCAAGUAGCUGGGACUACAGGCGUGCACCAUCACACCCCGCUAAUUUUUUUUCUUUUUUGCAGAGAUGGGGGUCUCACUAUUGUUGCCCAGGUAGGUCUCAAACUCCUGGGCUCAAGCAGUCCCCCUGCCUUGGCUUCCCUAAGUGUUGGGAUUACAGGCCUGAACCAUUACACCUCGCCUUAUCCUAUUUUUGUGGCGGUAAAAAAUUAUACUUGUUAGAUAUACACAUGGAAUUCUUUGUUUUGAGAAUUAAUUUGAUCAUUUUGAAUAUUCUUAGGAAUUCACUGUCUACUUGAUCAUGGUGGAUAAGCUUUUUGAUGUGCUGCUGGAUUUGGUUUGCCAGUAUUUUAUUGAGGAUUUUUGCAUCAAAAUGUGGCACAUAUACACCAUGGGAUACUAUGCAGCCAUAAAAACUGAUGAGUUCAUGUCCUUCGUAGGGACAUGGAUGAAGCUGGAAACCAUCAUUCUCAGCAAACUAUCGCAAGAACAAAAAACCAAACACCCCAUGUUCUCACUCAUAGGUGGGAAUUGAACAAUGAGAACACAUGGACACAGGAAGGGGAACAUCACACACCGGGGCCUGUUGUGGGGUAGGGGGAGCGGGGAGGGAUAGCAUUAGGAGAUAUACCUAAUGUUAAAUGAUGAGGUAAUGGGUGCAGCACACCAACAUGGCACAUGUAUACAUAUGUAACAAACCUGCACAUGUACCCUAAAACUUAAAGUAUAAUACAAAAAAUUUUUAAAAAGAAAUUCACUGUCUAUCUCCAUGAUCUAGUAAUGGAAUGGGGGUGGAGGAGGGUAAGAAUUAUCUUAAGUGAAUUAUUUUCAGUAGAGCAGUAAUGAAGGCACACUUUAGGUUAUUUCAUUCCUAUGAUCCAAAUUUGAUUAUCUAGCUAAGAUCACUGGGGGCAUUUGAAGCUUUAAUAAUUACAGCUCAAGGCCUCAGGAAAAAAAAAUUACGUUUACUACACAUUCACACAGCUUUUCAGAGAGUUGCCAAAUGAGGGCUGAUUUAAAAAAUAGAUUGAUAUCAAGAUUCCAUUUUGAGAGUUCAAACUCUGUUGACAUAAAAACAAACGCUAGAUUUAAACAAUUGUUUUGUGUAGAACAGUUAAACAUUGUUUAUUUGAAAGAGUAAAAAACAUAAGCUAUUGAUUUUACCUUUCCUUUUGGAAGACAGCUUUAGGAUUUUUCCCCUAGAAAGUUUUGAGGCCAGGAUUUUUACUACAAGUGCCGUGUUCCCUGACGUGCCAGCACAGCUUUGAAGCUGUCUCAGCUUCUAGGUCAAAGGCUCCCUCCCUGUGGCCAGAUGCCAGUCUUAUCCUUAGACUCCCAUGAGCUUCAGAAAUAAAUCAACUUUUCAGUAAAAUCCACUGACAGCUCUGCUUUACAUAAAAGCAUGCGGCCUGAGGAUGUAAUGCAGUUUUGCAUUUUAGGUGGAUAAGAAAAGAAAGAAAGCAUCCCAUAUCACUGAGAGACCAUUUCAAAUGGAGUUGCCAUUAUGAAAGCCAAGGGGUGGCUUGGAGGUAUUGCACCCACUCUUCCUGCAGCCUGUCCAACCCCAGCACAUAGUACUCACACAGCAGAAAACCACUGUAGUACAAAUGGCUCUACAGUGUUCUCAUCCUUGUAUAGCACUGGUUAGUAACAUCCAUGAAUUGAAGAAGUGUUGAGCAGGUCAGCACCCUGAGGCCAAAAUUUCCUCCUUGUGGUGAGAAAAGAAACAAAUGAAAAAAUUCCUCUCCGUACAACAAUGCAAAGUAAUCUCACAAUGUUGGAAAAUACAAAAGAGGCAAGACAUAAAAGAAGGCUUGCUAUACUGUUCCAUUUGUACAAAAUUUAAAAAUAUGAAAAACUAAUCAAUCAUGUUACACUAAUUAUACUUGUUUACCUUUGAUGAAGAGAGAGGAUUAGGAUUAGAAUGGGACAUGAUGAUGGCUUCUAGGGUGCUAGAAAGUUCUAUCUUAACCUGGGUGGUGGUCACAGAGGUGUGUUCACUUUGUGACAAUGCAUUUAGAAUAAUGCUAUUCUAAAACAUUAGAAUAGGGCUGGGCGCGGUGGCUCAUGCCUAUAAUCCCAGUACUUUGGGAGGCUGAGACGGACAGAUCACUCGAGAUCAGGAGUUUGAGACCAGCCUGGCCAACAUGGUGAAACCCUGUCUCUAUUAAAAAUACAAAAAUUAGCGGGGCAUGGUGGCGGGUGCCUGUCAUCCAGCUUCUUGGGAGGCUGAGGCAGGAGAAUCGCUUGAACCUGGGAAGUGGAGGUUGCGGUGAGCAGAGAUUGCACCACUGUACUCCAGCCUGGGUGACAGAGCAAGACUUUCUCAAAAAAAUAUACAGCACUUUUGCAUAACUAAACUAAUAGAUAUUGAGAAAAACCGAAAAUUAAGACAAGUUCAGGAAAAAAAAAUGACACCAAACCCCAUGGUAGGGCAGUGGAAACUCUCAUGCCUGGAUCCAGGGAAUGCUCAUUGCAAUUAUUCUUCUUGGUUAACUGUUUGGCAUUAUCUACUGAAGUUGAAGACACGCAUAUUCAGUGAUCUGGAUUUCCACCCCUGGGUAAUAUCCAAGAGAAAUAUGUACACAUGAGAACCAGAAGAACAGCAACUCUAUUCAUAACAACCCUAAACUGAAAACAAGUCAAAAUAUCAACAGUAGAGAAGAUAAAUAAAAUGUCAUAUAUCCAAACUUGGAAUACUAUACAGCACUGAAAACAAAUGAACCACAGUACUCUCACAACAUGGAUGCAACUUAAAAAUUAAAUGGGCCAGACAUGGUGGCUCAUGCCUGUAAUCCCUGCACUUUAGGAAACUGAGGCAGGAGGAUCUCCUGAGGUCAGGAGUUCGAGGCCAGCCUGGCCAACAUGUUGAAACCCCAUCUCUGCCAAAAAUACAAAAAUUAGCCGAGCGUGGUGGUGGGUGCCCGUAAUCCCAGCUACUCUGGAGGCUGAGGCAGGAGAAUCACUUGAACCUGGGAGGCGGAAGUUGCAGUGAAUCGAGAUCGCGCCUUUGAACUCCAGCCUGGAUGACAAGAGCAAAACUCUAUCUCAAAAAAAGAACAAAAAACAAAAAAUGGUGAGAGGCAAAAAAUCAUAUGCUUCCAUAUACGUACUUAAAGUUCAAAGAGUAGAAAAAAUAUAUAGUAUUCAGCCCUAUACACUUAGGUGUUGAAACAAUAAAAGCAAGGUCUUGCUCUGUCGCCCAGGCUGGAGUGCAAUGGUGUGAUCACGGCUCACUGCAGCCUCAACUUCCUAUGCUCAAGUGAUCCUCCUGCCUCUACCUCCCAAGUAGCUGGGACUAUAUAGGCGCAUGCCACCAUGUCCAGCUAAUUUUUAAAUUUUUCGUAGAAGCAGAGGUCUUGCUAUGUUGCUCAGGCUGGUCUCCAACUCCUGGGCUCAAGCAAUUCUCCUGCUUUGACCUCCCAAAGUGUUGCGAUUACAGGCAUGCGCCAUCAUGCCCAGCUCUGUUCUAUUUCUUGACUUGAGUCAUGGUUAUGUGAAUGUUUACUUUAUAAAAUGGUAUUGAGUUGUACUUUUCUAUAUCAUGCACUUUCCCGAAUGUAUGUUAUAUUUCACAGUAAAAAGGGUGUUAAAAAUCACAUGAAACCCAAUUAUUUGGAGAUAGUUAUAAAUUGAACACCUUGAUGUAUAUAUACUCCCAGAACUUCUUUAAUGCAAUAUAAUCUGGCCAUAUUGCUUUGUAGCCUUUAAUUUUUUUUUAAUUAAUGAUAUGCCCUCUCAAAAGAAUUCCUCUUUAGAUUUUCUCCAUUUCCACUUAAUUUUAACUAAAAGUAAAUAUCAUACAAGCUUUAUGCCCCUCUGGAAGCCUAAAGCCAUAGAGUGGCUUUCAGGAAAUUAGGUUGCUUUAGCCUAAGCUACAUUGAUUCAUAAACCAAUCUACAGGAUUUUGCCAUAGCUCAUGGGAGACUUUUCCUUCUCUGUUAAUAAUGUUGCUGCUUCAAAAGAGGAAAGCCUCUUUCCAUCUCUUCAGAGUGCCAGCUCUGCAACAGAACAGGCCAGGAAAUGAGGGGGAAAGGCCAGCGCAGAGGAGGGGACAGGGAGCUUGAGGCAGGGAAGGAGAUCAUCUUAGAACUGAUUGCAAUGUCUGCCAUGCUGAGCUCAUGCCUAGCCUGUCCCAGGCAAUGACAGGAAGCAGAUUUUCGAAGUGAUCUAGGGAUUCAAAAUAAAAAAAAGUAGUUUCAUUGCUUUUUCUUGCCCCUGGGAUGGAACCAGUGUGCUUCCCUCUGCCUAGAACCCCCUCCCCUUUCCCUUGUCCAAUCUCCAACCAUCCUCCCUGUUCUUCACUGUGUCAUCAUCGUAGCCAUUCACAGUCAAAGAACCCAUCAAUGAGCAUCCAAACCUGAAGGGGACCACACGAGAGCCCCAUGGCACCCUGUAUUUACCCCGCCACAGCAUUCAUCAGCCUAUGCCGAAGUUACUAUUUUCUUGUCUACGAAUACUCCACUAAUCUGUAAACUCCAUGAACACAAGGUCAGUCUGUUUCACUGUAGUAAUUCCAAGCACCAGGAUAUAUUGGCCCUUGAUAAUAUAUUCCUUGGAUGCAUGAAAAUCAGGGUGAUGCGUGAAGUGAGAUGGGAC
RNAcentral lists this long non-coding RNA (17828 nucleotides) under Homo sapiens (human). Its description in RNAcentral is "non-protein coding lnc-STMND1-4:10". Lineage: Eukaryota; Metazoa; Chordata; Mammalia; Primates; Hominidae. The record is from RNAcentral.